CUAAGUACCCCGAGGAAAAGAAAUCAACCGAGAUUCCGAAAGUAGCGGCGAGCGAAAUUGGACUAGCCCUUAAGCUUUAUAGGCGUUAGGUGAACAAGCUGGAAAGCUUGGCGAUACAGGGUGAUAGCCCCGUAACUGACGACGCAUAUUCAGUGAAAUCGAGUAGGGCGGGACACGUGAUAUCCUGUCUGAAUAUGGGGGGACCAUCCUCCAAGGCUAAAUACUACUGACUGACCGAUAGUGAACCAGUACCGUGAGGGAAAGGCGAAAAGAAC
Molecule: ribosomal RNA, 275 nt
Filed under: Vibrio parahaemolyticus
Lineage: Bacteria; Pseudomonadati; Pseudomonadota; Gammaproteobacteria; Vibrionales; Vibrionaceae
Description: partial 23S ribosomal RNA
Rfam family: Bacterial large subunit ribosomal RNA
Source: RNAcentral